CCAUAUUCUCGUUAGUGGGAUGAAGGCAAGCCCAAUCGUAGAUUAAUCAUCAUCCCCGUUCCUUCACCGACGACCGCACAGACAGAAGCUCCGGUGAAUCCAUAGAGCUGGGAGAAAUGUUAUCUUUGAAAUUUGGGUCAAAAUGGGUGGCGGUUGCUACCUCCGAAUCAGUCGUAGGACGUCAAAGACACUUGAGAGAUCUUUGCUGUUUUUCCAACCGUAUUCAGUCAAAUGGAUUAUCUUCUCAAUAUCAGAUUGAUUUCAAUUCACCAUUGUCGUCGAAACAUUCUUUGUCUUUGGAAGGACUGGAGGAUGUCAUGGUCGGCUACUUUUUUGGGAAGAAGAGGGCGACAGAAGUUGCUCACUCUGUUUGGAAAUGUAUUGUCAAAAAAGGGGAUACAGUAGUAGAUGCUACUUGUGGAAAUGGUUAUGAUACUCUAGCUAUGGUCAAGAUGGUUGCAGAUGAAUCUGGUUCUGCACGUGUUUAUGCAAUGGAUGUACAAAAUGAGGCUUUAGAAAGUACUUCUGCAUUGCUGGAUGAAUCACUCAGUGAAAAAGAGAAGAAACUUGUUAAACUCUCUUCCAUUUGCCACAGCAGAAUGGAGGAUGUCAUUCUAGAGGAUUCCCCUGUUAGUCUUGUUGCAUUUAACCUAGGGUACCUACCUGGUGGUAACAAAGCAAUCACUACAAAGUCAGAAACAACAUUUCAAGCACUUAAAGCUGCACACAGGAUUCUGAAACCUGGAGGGCUUAUCAGCCUAGUGGUUUAUGUGGGGCAUCCUGGUGGAAUGGAAGAAUUGGAGACUAUCGAAAAAUUUUCUAGCGACCUGGCUGUUGAGAAUUGGAUUUGUUGUAAGCUACAGAUGUUAAACCGGCCACUAGCUCCAGUGCCUGUAUUCUUAUUCAAGAGAUGAAAGUGACAGUUUAUGAAGUUGGGACAAUGCUCAUGCAUAGUUCACUUGCUAUUGCCUCUUUUGGUAGCCUUGGUGGCAUUGGAUUAAUUUCAUGUCAAUCUUGUCAUGCAGCUUCAUUACCACAAGCAAACCAACUGGGAUGACAUGCCUCGAAGCCACCACGUCCUAUUUAGAGGAUUUAGGACUUCUAACAAACCUGACAAGCAACAACCUUAACUAAUAUAUGGACCGCACAUUUACUUGAUAUGGGGCAUAAGACGAAAGAAACAACAUUCACGAGGGAAGCCAACAUGCUAGUUUUGUUAAUGUGAUUGUGCUUUUGUUAGAUACAAAAACUCUCUAUUCACAAGCCUGAUAAUGUCAAACGAAUCUAACUCAACAUUGGAAAUUUGAGAGAAACAAGACAAACCGUGGAUAAAAGCCAAUGCUUCAAAUUCCUUAAUUACUAACACAUUUCUCGCUUGGCUACAGCAUCACUAAGAGACCCAAAGUAAUAUUGAGAUAAAUUUUCUCUCUCUAACUUCUCUCUCAAAAUGUGAGAAAAUCUAAAAGAGAUGGAAAGUUCAAAAUAAAUAGGAAGGACUUCUUGGUAGGGUUGAUGAGGAAGGUUAGGAAAAUUUAUAUUGAAGAAAGAAAUGGUAGGAAAUUUGGUAAAAUGGAGCUGGACUUUGGGACCUCAGCUUUGGUUAGGGAUUGUCUAACAAAUGCUGCAGUUGCAAAUAAUCCCAGGGUUUUUUGGGGUAGAAGAGGGCUGAAGUUCGCCAUUAUCUUCUUCCAGGUUUUGGAGAAUGCAAGAGGUAGGUUUGUCAUUCUAUCCCUAGAAUCUUUUAAAGGAAAAAAGACGAGAAUUUUCAUAUCGAAAGGGAGCAAAGGAAAGGGUAGGAAAUCUUUUGCAGAGGAGAUAUCGGUUUUACUUUUGGGUCUGGAAGGGGCGAUUAGAAUCAGUUUUGCUUCCGAGGUUUGGAAGGGAAAUUAGAAGUUAGGUUUAGUGACCUAACCAGCUAAGGAUCGGUUGAAGAAAGGGAAAGAAGGGUCUCAACCGACCAUAAUUUUGCUCAAGGAAAAUAAGGGACCAAGGGUCUAGAAUCGAGAAGUACUCAAAAUGACAAAGAUGUUGGGAAGAAGAUGGCAGAUGAAAGUGGAAAAGACGGUCACAAUUAAGACCUAAAUUGAGUGUUAAGCCUUUUUUGGAAGUUAUUGAUUGAAACCCCAUUUUACCUAGGGAGGAUGAGGAGAUGGUGAUGCCAUUUUCUUUAGAAGAGAUUAAGAAGUCAGUUUUCAGUUGCAAAGGCGACAAAUUUUCUGGUGCGGAUGGGUUCUCUAUGGCUUUCUUCCAAAAGAACUAGAAUCUGAUUAAAGGGGCUUGGAGGGAGUCUUUAAGGAGUUCUUUGAAAGAGGUAUCUUGAACCGUUUGAUGGUGGAAACUCUUGUGUCUAGUCCCCAGAAAGGAAAAUGCCAAUAGAGUUAGGGAGUUCCGACCUAUCUGCCUUAUCGCUAGUGUUUAAGAUUUUGACUAAGGUUCUUGCUAACCAAUAUUGCCCUCGAAAAUUUCUGAAGCUCAAGGUGCUUUUUUAACAGGAAGGCAGAUUUCGGAUCAAGCUCUUAUUGCUAAUGAGACUAUAGAGGAGUAUAGGUCGAAGAAAAAGGAGGGUGUUUUGCUUAAAAUUGAUUUUGAAAAGCGUUUGAUCAUGUGGAUUGGAAUUUUUUGGACAGAGUGAUGAUGAAAAUGAAGAAUGUGGAUGUGGGGUGUAUUAGAAACGUGAAGUACUUGAUUCUCGUCAAUAGGUCCCCAAAAGGGUCAAUACAAGCUUCUAAGGAUUUAAGACAAGGGGAUCAUUUUUCCCAUUUUUAUUCUUACUCGUGAUGAAUGUCUUAAGCCGACUUAUAAGUAAAGGGGUUGAAGGGAACACUAUUGACCCCUUUAGGCUUGGCAGAGAUGAAAUCACCUUAUCGCAACUCCAAUUUGCGGACGAUACUUGUUCUGUUCCGAGAGAGAAGAGUCCUUCCUCACUCUUAAUUAUAUGGUUGCUUUCUUUGAGGAGUUGUCUGGUUUGGAAAUUAAUAGAAGCAAAUGCACCAUCUUGGAUAUUAAUGUGGAUGCUAUUAAGCUUUAGAGAUGGCAGAGGUAUUUGAUUGUGAGGUUGGUUCCUUCUGUUCGCUUUAUCUUGGGCUCCCUUUGGGGAACAAUCCGAGGGCUAUGUCUUUUUGGGAACUCGUUUGUGAGAAGAUUCGUAAGAGAUUGGCGAGAUGGAUGAAAGGGUUCUUUUCUCAAAAGCAGGGAGAUUAACUAUGAUUAAAUAUGUUAUGAAUGGAAACCAAUGUAUUAUGUCGCUUUUCAGGAUGCCUAGUUCAAUUUGUAAAAGUAUGGAGAAGUACAUGAGAGAUUUUCUUUGGGAGGGUGUUGACGAAGGUCAUGGUUUCCAUUUGUUGAGUUGGGAGUUGGGAGUUGGUGGAGCGUCCUAUGAACAAAGGGGAGUUAGAGAUUGAUAAUUUUAUAUUCCGCAGUAGAGCGUUAUUGGCUAAGUGACUCUUGGCUUUUCUCUUGAACCUGAGUCUUUAUGGCAUAGAAUUAUUGUAAGCAUGGCACCCGUCUCUUUAAAUAGACGUCGAAAUGGGUUAAAGGCACACACCAAAAUCCCUGGAAGGAUAUUUCCUUUGAGCUUUCCACUUUUUCUCAGUUUACUCAUUGCUUUGUAGAGGAUGGUAAGGAUACAUAUUUCUGGUAGGACCACUGGGUGGAGAGUCUCCUUUGUUCUUUAUAUCCCCAUCUUUAUCAUUUAUCCUCGUUAGAAAACUGUAUAGUCUCGAAUUGUUGGGUCAGCUUGGAGAAUUCUGCGUCUUUUUUCUUUGGGUUCCUUCGUCAUUUAACCAGAAGAGAAGUGACAGCGGCGACCUCUUUUCUUUUCUUGCUUGAGGGGGUGUAUUUUUAAGGAGGGGAGAAGGGAUGUUCGUGUCUGGACUCCCUAAUCCAAGUAGUGGUUUCACGUUUAAGUCCUUGUUUAGUCUUUUGUGUUAGACCUUUCUCCCUAUUCUAAGUCGAUCUUUGAUAUGGUCUGGAGGGCUAAGGUUUCCAAGAAAGUUAGAUUCUUUAUAUGGCAAGUCUUGCUUGGGCAUGCUGACACUAUGGAAAGGCUUGUUAGGAAGAGGACUUCUCUUGUUGACCUUUUUUGCUGCAUGCUUUGUCAGAAGGCGGAGGAAGAUCUUGUUCAUCUUUUUUGGGACAUACUGCCAUUAUGUGAGGGUAGUGUGGAGCUCUUUCCUGUAAGUGUUUGGUGUCAGUUUUGCUGGCUCUAGGAGUGUCAAAGCGAUGAUCGAGGAGUCCUUCUCCAUCUGCCGAUAGAGGGGUGCCUUUGGGAACAUGGGCACAGGUGGUGCAUAGAGUUCAACCAUUGUGUUUAGUUGCCAAUCGUUGAGGUUGGAACCUUGAGUAGACUGUCGGCGGUAAGCCAGAGGAAGGUGAGGAUGACAUCAAGUCAUCAUGCCCCUUAUGCCCUGGGCAACACGUGCUAUAAUGGCCGAGAAAGAGUUAUGAUCUUGUGAGGCUAACUCCAAAAACCCGUCAUUAAUUCGGAUUGUUGGUUGCAACUCGCCUGCAUGAAGCCGAAAUCACUAGUAAUUGUAGGUCAGCCAUAUGGUGGUGAAUUCGUUUUUAGGCCUUGUACACACUGCUUGCCACACUAUUGUAGCUGGCCAUGCCCGAAGUUGUUACCUUAACUGCAGGAGGGAGAUGCCAAAGGCAGGCCAGUGACGGAAGAUAAAUGGGGCUUUCUAUGGGUGGCUGGAGUGUGUGCCAUUGUUUGGGACAUUUGAGGUGAGAGGCAUGGGCAGGUUUUUAGGGGUAGGGAGAGGGAGCAUAGUGAGAUUUCAUCUUUGGCUAGAUUUCCUGAUAAUCUCCCACUUUGAAAAAGCUUAAUUCUUUGAACAUCAUCUCCCAAACCACUUUGUUGAGACACAACAUCCUCCAACUCUCAUCUAAUACACCCUGCCUUUAAUCCUAACUAAGUCUUACUGGAACCUGCAAAUUUUGUCAAAUUCCUCACACAAGCUGUUUGGAAUCUUAAAAUAUUGUAGCUUGGGAUAGCAUAGGCAACAACCUUGAUAAGAACUUCCUUUCCACGCACAGAGAAAAGACUUCCCUUCCACCCUUGUAACACAUUCCACACCCGAACAGUAAUCCUUUUGAACAAUCUGGUCUGGCUCCUCCAAUUAUGUGUAGGAAGACCUAGAUUAGUGCUGAGAUUGUCAGAUCUUUUAGCCACCAGAAUCUGAUUGAGCUCAGAUGUCAUUCUUCUCAUAAAUAUUCUUACUGAUUAAGCAAAAAGGAGACUUAUCUAGGUUGAUCAUUUGACCCAUAGCCUUUUCGUAAACUCUAAGCACCUUUGUCAGAUAUUUUAGCCACCAGCAUCUGAUUGAGCUCAGAUGUCAUUCUUCUCAUUAAUAUUCUUACUGAUUAAGCAAAAAGAAGACUUAUCCAGGUUUAUCAUUUGACCCGUAGCCUUCUCAUAAACUCCAAGUACCUUUGUAAUAGUGUAACAAUCCUUCCUUGAAGCUUUGAGAGACACCAGGUUGACAUCUGCAGAAAAGAAAAGAAAGCAUAAGAAAGGGCAAUGCUUGUUAACAUGCAAAUCACUCAUUUGAAAAAAAGGGUGGAUAGCCCAGCACAAAUUGGGAACAAGUAGAGAGACAAGGGAUUCCCUAAUCUAAGGCCUCAAUUGAAUGCAAACUUUUUAAAAUGUAACCCGUUCACAAGAACUCCAAACUUGACAUAUUCCACAACUCUCAAGGCAAUUUACCAAUUUUAUUUUCAAACUCAAGCUUACUAAGAAAAUCUCAUUUUCACUUUGUUUUGAGUUUUGCUCAGGUUAAUUAGCUUCAAAACAAUAUGACACUCCUUACUACUUCACUUGCUAUUGCUAGCGUGGAUGCACAAAAACCAAGGUUACAUGUUCUAUAAUAAGUUUGCCUAGGAUAAAACUCAGGCCCAUUUAAGCUUGUUAGUCAAUGCAUCUGCAAUGAUUUUGUAUGAGAUAUUGCACAGGUUAGACAUGGAUAAAAUCUACCACCCUCUUUUUUUCAAAACACCUUGGUAUAAAAAUUUCUACGUGCUUAAAAAAAUGUCUUUAGCACACUCAGAAUCAAUUCAAACUGGUCCUACAUGAAAGUGGCAAAAUUUAUAAUCUCUUCUUUCAAAUAUAACAAAGUAUAGAUAAAAUAGACUUAUAUUAUAGGUAGAAUUUAAAAGAUUUUGCUAUAUUUGCGAUCUUUUUCAAAUGUUAUAUAUAAAACUAUUUUGAAUCUAAAUGCUAUAUUUGCAAUUAUUUCUAAUUUAAUUUAUUUUUUGGAGGGGCUUAUUUUGAGUCAAGUAUAUUGUUCCUACUAUUCUUAUUUAGAAUGGAUUCGUAAAAAAAGAAAAAAGAAAAAAAAAAGAGGAUUUGAAUGAUUAAGUAGGGUAGUGUGCCUAAAAGUGAAAUUAACAUAUGAUAAUGGUGCGAAUCAAUGAGAAAAUUAGUUUGGUCUGAGAGAGAAAAAUUGAGAAGAGGAAGAAGCCUUGUCAAUGGAGAAACAAUAUAUGGUUUUCUUAAAAAAAAAAA
RNA transcript from Cucumis sativus (cucumber), 6505 nucleotides. It is a transcript of the gene named putative rRNA methylase YtqB, with no coding region annotated. The transcript is spliced from 8 exons. The record is from RefSeq and is a predicted model, not a curated record. Lineage: Eukaryota; Viridiplantae; Streptophyta; Magnoliopsida; Cucurbitales; Cucurbitaceae.